AGCAGCCGCGGUAAUUCCAGCUCCAAUAGCGUAUAUUAAAGUUGUUGCAGUUAAAAAGCUCGUAGUUGAAUUUCGGGGUUAGUAGGUCGGUCAUGCCUCAGGUAUGUACUGGUCUCACUGAUUCCUCCUUCCUGAUGAGCCGUAAUGCCCAUUAAUUUGGUGUUGCGGGGAAUCUGGACUGUUACUUUGGAAAAAUUGAGUGUUUAAAGCAGGCUAACGCUUGAAUACAUUAGCAUGGAAUAAUGGAAUAGGACGUUCGAUCCUAUUUUGUUGGUUUCUAGGAUUGACGUAAUGAUUAAUAGGGAUAGUUGGGGGCAUUAGUAUUCAAUUGUCAGAGGUGAAGUUCUUGGAUUUAUUGAAGACUAACUACUGCGAAAGCAUUUGCCAAGGAUGUUUUCAUUAAUCAAGAACG
Molecule: ribosomal RNA, 412 nt
Filed under: uncultured Glomeromycotina
Lineage: Eukaryota; Fungi; Glomeromycota
Description: SSU rRNA
Rfam family: Eukaryotic small subunit ribosomal RNA
Source: RNAcentral